UAAGCGCAUACGGUGGAUGCCUUGGCAGUCAGAGGCGAUGAAAGACGUGGAAGCCUGCGAUAAGGUUCGGGGAGCUGGCAAACAAGCUGUGAUCCGGGCAUUUCUGAAUGGGGAAACCCACCGACUUUCGGGUCGGUAUCUUGCACUGAAUACAUAGGUGUAAGAGGCGAACCGGGGGAACUGAAACAUCUAAGUACCCCGAGGAAAAGAAAUCAACCGAGAUUCCCUAAGUAGCGGCGAGCGAACGGGGACUAGCCCUUAAGCUAGACAACUGGUAGGAGAAGGCUCUGGAAAGUGCCGCCAUAGUGGGUGAUAGCCCCGUAUCCGAAACCUGAGUCUGGUGAAAUCGAGUAGGACGGGACACGUGAAAUCCUGUCUGAACAUGGGGGGACCAUCCUCCAAGGCUAAAUACUCCUGACUGACCGAUAGUGAACCAGUACCGUGAGGGAAAGGCGAAAAGAACCCCUGUGAGGGGAGUGAAAUAGAUCCUGAAACCGUAUGCGUACAAGCAGUCGGAGCGGACUUGUUCCGUGACGGCGUACCUUUUGUAUAAUGGGUCAGCGACUUAUGUUCAGUGGCGAGGUUAACCGUUUAGGGGAGCCGUAGGGAAACCGAGUCUGAAUAGGGCGAUUUAGUCGCUGGGCAUAGACCCGAAACCGGGCGAUCUAUCCAUGAGCAGGUUGAAGGUGCCGUAACAGGCACUGGAGGACCGAACCCACUGUCGUUGAAAAGCCAGGGGAUGACUUGUGGAUCGGAGUGAAAGGCUAAUCAAGCCCGGAGAUAGCUGGUUCUCCCCGAAAGCUAUUUAGGUAGCGCCUCGGACGAAUACCACAGGGGGUAGAGCACUGUUUCGGCUAGGGGGUCAUCCCGACUUACCAACCCGAUGCAAACUCCGAAUACCUGUGAGUACUAUCCGGGAGACACACGGCGGGUGCUAACGUCCGUCGUGAAGAGGGAAACAACCCAGACCGCCAGCUAAGGUCCCCAAGUACCAGUUAAGUGGGAAACGAUGUGGGAAGGCUCAGACAGCUAGGAGGUUGGCUUAGAAGCAGCCAUCCUUUAAAGAAAGCGUAAUAGCUCACUAGUCGAGUCGGCCUGCGCGGAAGAUGUAACGGGGCUCAAACUGGUCACCGAAGCUGCGGCUGCAUACUUUGUAUGCGGGGUAGGGGAGCGUUCUGUAAGCCUGCGAAGGUGUGUUGAGAAGCAUGCUGGAGGUAUCAGAAGUGCGAAUGCUGACAUGAGUAACGACAAUGCGGGUGAAAAACCCGCACGCCGGAAGACCAAGGGUUCCUGCGCAACGCUAAUCGGCGCAGGGUGAGUCGGCCCCUAAGGCGAGACCGAAAGGUGUAGUCGAUGGGAAACGGGUUAAUAUUCCCGUACCUUGGAUAGCUGCGAUGGAGAGACGGAGAAGGCUAGGUGAGCCGGGCGACGGUUGUCCCGGUUUAAGCGAGUAGGGAGUGGACUUAGGCAAAUCCGGGUCCACAAUCUCGAGACGCGACGACGACUGCUCCUAGAGCGGGAAGUCAUUGAUGCCAUGCUUCCAGGAAAAUCUUCUAAGCUUCAGGCUAUUCGAGACCGUACCCCAAACCGACACAGGUGGUCAGGUAGAGAAUACCAAGGCGCUUGAGAGAACUCGGGUAAAGGAACUAGGCAAAAUGGUGCCGUAACUUCGGGAGAAGGCACGCUGGUGGUAAGUGAAAUCCCUGCGGGUGGAGCUGAAGCCAGUCGAAGAUACCAGGCCCCUGCGACUGUUUAUUAAAAACACAGCACUGUGCAAACACGAAAGUGGACGUAUACGGUGUGACGCCUGCCCGGUGCCGGAAGGUUAAUUGAUGGGGUUAGCGCUUGCGCGAAGCUCUUGAUCGAAGCCCCGGUAAACGGCGGCCGUAACAAUAACGGUCCUAAGGUAGCGAAAUUCCUUGUCGGGUA
Molecule: ribosomal RNA, 1929 nt
Filed under: Chrysotila carterae
Lineage: Eukaryota; Haptophyta; Isochrysidales; Isochrysidaceae
Description: partial Bacterial large subunit ribosomal RNA
Rfam family: Bacterial large subunit ribosomal RNA
Source: RNAcentral